CGCGUUCGGGAUGCCGGGGGCGGGUGGGUGGCUAAGACACCAGCCCCCCACCCCACCCCCUUACACUGCCGUCUGCCCCCUUGGCUUGACCGCCGCGAUCUUGCUAUCGCCUACCUAGCUCUCCUCCUGGCCAACCCCAGGCUAUCUGGAGAGAUGGGAAAAGUGUGGCGAUGCGGAAAAAGUCGGUUUUUCCUCGAGCGGGCGAGGUGCUGUCCCCUCACGCUGUCCACCUGCAGCGCCAGGCAUAUUUGUUCUUUGCCAAAAGAUGGAAAUUUUGAAGAAAAUUGGAAAUUAGAAAAAAAAAAGACAAGCACAGAAAAAGGAUCCUAACUUCAUCUCCUAUAGAGCUGCCAAAUAGUUUAAAAGCUAGAAGCAGUUUAAAAGCUAGAAGCAGCAACAUCUCUCUUUUGACAAUUGUUCACCCUAAGUUCACAGUCUCUGAACCUGGGGACACCUCUUUCCCCCAUCCCAUUAGUGUCAAACUCCCUGAGGUUUGCCACUGCAAAGUGCACGACUCAGCGUUUGCAAUUUACAUGUGUGACAUCAUAUCCUCUAUUAUGUAACUUCAGAUACAAAGCCUAAUAUCAUCUAAGUUUGUGUUGGAAAAAAUCCUCCCUAGCUUUUUAUUUCAGCUUUAGUAGAUCCAGCCUUUGGUUCUCAGUCCCUAAUCCUAUUUCUUUAACAGCUGACACUG
Molecule: long non-coding RNA, 694 nt
Filed under: Heterocephalus glaber (naked mole-rat)
Lineage: Eukaryota; Metazoa; Chordata; Mammalia; Rodentia; Bathyergidae
Description: lncRNA (ENSHGLG00100035867.1)
Source: RNAcentral